This 71-nucleotide transfer RNA is filed under the name Danio rerio (zebrafish). It matches the Rfam family "tRNA". Rfam says of the family: Transfer RNA (tRNA) molecules are approximately 80 nucleotides in length. Their secondary structure includes four short double-helical elements and three loops (D, anti-codon, and T loops). Further hydrogen bonds mediate the characteristic L-shaped molecular structure. tRNAs have two regions of fundamental functional importance: the anti-codon, which is responsible for specific mRNA codon recognition, and the 3' end, to which the tRNAs corresponding amino acid is attached (by aminoacyl-tRNA synthetases). tRNAs cope with the degeneracy of the genetic code in two manners: having more than one tRNA (with a specific anti-codon) for a particular amino acid; and 'wobble' base-pairing, i.e. permitting non-standard base-pairing at the 3rd anti-codon position. The record is from Rfam by way of RNAcentral. Lineage: Eukaryota; Metazoa; Chordata; Actinopteri; Cypriniformes; Danionidae.
GCAUUGGUGGUUCAGUGGUAGUAUUCUUACCUGCCACGUGGUAGACCUGGGUCUGAUUCCCGGCCAAUGCA